CCUGGAUCUUCCUCUGCACCCCUUUAUCCCCACCCUUAUCUGCCUGAAUAACUUCCAUUAUCCAUCAAGAUUCAACUAAAACCACCACCUCCAAGAAGGCUGCCCUGGGAGGCUUAGUGAUCUAGGAAUGAAUUUGAUUAAGAAGGUGAGAUUUUUUUUUUAAGCACAAAUAUCAGCAGAACACAUGAACAAGAGUGACCCUACACUUUUGGUUAACAAUGACAGAAGAACUACAGUAUCAGAUUGGAAAUUUUCCGUAAGAAAGCAUGCUUCUAACCUACCCCUGGAAAAAGUGCUACAACUUAUUUCACACCUAAGGUGAAUGAAUCGUGUAGAGGCUUCAAGAAGUACUCGAGAUGGCAUGCCUGCCUAUCAGUAAACGCCUGUUUCUUCAAGGAGGUCAGAUAUUUCUAGAUAAAGGACACCACAGCCUGAAGGAAGUACACAUUUAGGUCAACAUAAACUCAUUCAGCUCGACUUUUUAUCCAAAAAUGCACCUUUGGAUACAUGUGGCUCCAAACACACCAGUUCUCGUGCAUGAUCACUUCCAGAAGAUUAUCGGUCAUCUCGAACACCAAUUAUGUCAUUGCAACAUCUUGGAAACAAUCACGGGUCUCCUGGCACUACUAAGGUUUUUCAUCAGCGUCUGUAGCCUCAAAUGUGAGGCUGCAAACAUUUCUUAGGUAAUCUCAUAAAGAAGAUAAAUAUCCCUGGACCCUCUUCUCUAGUAUUUUGCUCAUCUUUUCAAGGCCUUAGGCACACAAAAUUAUUUUCUUCACCCAACCGAGUCGGCUUGGCCGGCACACGGUACCGAACUUGCAGCAGUGAUGGUCGCUGCACAAAAGCAGUGGCGACAGCAGCAACGGCUGCAGCCGCCGGAGGCAGGAGGGGCUCUCGAGGCCGGUACUGUGGGGACCCAGGGUGGGAGGCUGGCUUGCCCAUCAGUCCCGGGAGCCUGGCUGUGGCGUCUGCACGAAUAUUAACUCUGGCCAGACGACAACCGACCGAACAGGAACUGCUGGAAUGCGGGCAGUAAACUUGUUCAGUAAAUUAUUACAAAAUAAAAGUUUCCACAUCGACACUGCAAGAAAACAUGUCACGCGUUCGUAAUCCUUUGAAGACUUUAGGAUCUCAGUUUUUAAAACUGCUUCAACGUUGCAAAGCACAUAUCCACAGACUUAGAAACA
Molecule: long non-coding RNA, 1187 nt
Organism: Panthera uncia (snow leopard)
Lineage: Eukaryota; Metazoa; Chordata; Mammalia; Carnivora; Felidae
Exons: 3
Source: RefSeq, a predicted model, not a curated record